RNAcentral lists this ribosomal RNA (485 nucleotides) under uncultured bacterium. Its description in RNAcentral is "partial 16S ribosomal RNA". It matches the Rfam family "Bacterial small subunit ribosomal RNA", at positions 28 to 507 of the family's 1533-position model. The record is from RNAcentral.
GAUGAACGCUGGCGGCGUGCUUAACACAUGCAAGUCGAACGGGAUCCAAGGGGUGCUUGCACUUUUUGGUGAGAGUGGCGAACGGGUGAGUAACACGUGAGUAACCUGUCCUUUUCUUUGGGAUAAGCAUUCGAAAGGGUGUUUAAUACCUUAUGUUCUGUCUGCCUCGCAUGGGGUGGGUGGGAAUGGCUUUGGCCGGAUUUGGGUGGGCUCGCGGUCUAUCAGCUUGUUGGUGGGGUGAUGGCUUACCAAGGCUUUGACGGGUAGCCGGCCUGAGAGGGUGGUCGGUCACAUUGGGACUGAGAUACGGCCCAGACUCCUGCGGGAGGCAGCAGUGGGGGAUAUUGCACAAUGGGCGAAAGCCUGAUGCAGCGACGCCGCGUGGGGGAUGAAGGCCUUCGGGUUGUAAACUUCUUUUGCUCUGAACAAGGCAUGCCAGUGGGUGUGUUGAGUGUAGGGGUUGAUUAGCGCCGGCUAACUACGUG